Molecule: ribosomal RNA, 440 nt
Filed under: uncultured bacterium
Lineage: Bacteria
Description: partial 16S ribosomal RNA
Rfam family: Bacterial small subunit ribosomal RNA
Source: RNAcentral
CCUACGGGGGGCAGCAGUGGGGAAUAUUGCACAAUGGGGGAAACCCUGAUGCAGCGACACCGCGUGCGUGAAGAAGUAUUUCGGUACGUAAAGCUCUAUCAGCAGGGAAGAAAAUGACGGUACCUGACUAAGAAGCCCCGGCUAACUACGUGCCAGCAGCCGCGGUAAUACGUAGGGGGCAAGCGUUAUCCGGAUUUACUGGGUGUAAAGGGAGCGUAGACGGCAGAGCAAGUCUGGAGUGAAAUCCCAUGGCUUAACCAUGGAACUGCUUUGGAAACUGUGCAGCUAGAGUGCAGGAGAGGUAAGCGGAAUUCCUAGUGUAGCGGUGAAAUGCGUAGAUAUUAGGAGGAACACCAGUGGUGAAGGCGGCUUACUGGACUGUAACUGACGUUGAGGCUCGAAAGCGUGGGGAGCAAACAGGAUUAGAUACCCCUGUAGUC